AUUGAACGCUGGCGGCAGGCCUAACACAUGCAAGUCGAACGAGAGGCGGACGGGUGAGUAAUGUCUGGGAAACUGCCUGAUGGAGGGGGAUAACUACUGGAAACGGUAGCUACUACCGCAUACCAUCAGAUGUGCCCAGAUGGGAUUAGCGAGUUGGUGGGGUCACGGCUCACCAAGGCGACGAUCCGUAGCUGGUCUGAGAGGAUGACCAGACACACUGGAACUGAGACACGGUCCAGACUCCUACGGGAGGAAGCAGGGGGGAAUAUUGCACAAUGGGCGCAAGCCUGAUGCAGCCAUGCCGCGUGUAUGAAGAAGGCCUUCGGGUUGUAAAGUACUUUCAGCGGGGAGGCGUUACCCGCAGAAGAAGCACCGGCUAACUCCGUGCCAGCAGCCGCGGUAAUUC
Molecule: ribosomal RNA, 406 nt
Filed under: uncultured bacterium
Lineage: Bacteria
Description: partial 16S ribosomal RNA
Rfam family: Bacterial small subunit ribosomal RNA
Source: RNAcentral